Molecule: ribosomal RNA, 772 nt
Filed under: uncultured Cytophaga sp.
Lineage: Bacteria; Pseudomonadati; Bacteroidota; Cytophagia; Cytophagales; Cytophagaceae
Description: bacterial SSU rRNA
Rfam family: Bacterial small subunit ribosomal RNA
Source: RNAcentral
GAGCUUUCGGGCUUCGACCGGCGUACGGGUGCGUAACGCGUAUACAAUCUGCCUUUCACAUAGGGAUAGCCCGAAGAAAUUUGGAUUAAUACCUAAUGGUAUAUAGAUGUGGCAUCACCUUUAUAUUAAAGCUGAGGCGGUGAAAGAUGAGUAUGCGUUCUAUUAGCUAGUUGGAGAGGUAACGGCUCCCCAGGGCUACGAUAGAUAGGGGUUCUGAGAGGGAUAUCCCCCACACUGGUACUGAGAUACGGACCAGACUCCUACGGGAGGCAGCAGUGAGGAAUAUUGGACAAUGGUCGGAAGACUGAUCCAGCCAUGCCGCGUGCAGGAAGACGGCCUUAUGGGUUGUAAACUGCUUUUGCAGGGGAAGAAUAAGGACUACGAGUAGUUUGAUGACGGUACUCUGCGAAUAAGCAUCGGCUAACUCCGUGCCAGCAGCCGCGGUAAUACGGAGGAUGCGAGCGUUAUCCGGAAUCAUUGGGUUUAAAGGGUCCGUAGGCGGGCUAAUAAGUCAGAGGUGAAAGCGCUCAGCUCAACUGAGCAACUGCCUUUGAAACUGUUAGUCUUGAAUGGUUGUGAAGUAGUUGGAAUGUGUAGUGUAGCGGUGAAAUGCUUAGAUAUUACACAGAACACCGAUAGCGAAGGCAUAUUACUAACAAUUAAUUGACGCUGAUGGACGAAAGCGUGGGGAGCGAACAGGAUUAGAUACCCUGGUAGUCCACGCUGUAAACGAUGGAUACUAGCUGUUUGGUUGUAAGACUGAGUGGCUAAG